This is a long non-coding RNA of Hemicordylus capensis (graceful crag lizard), 1319 nucleotides long. RefSeq lists it as uncharacterized. NCBI's taxonomy places the organism in Eukaryota, Metazoa, Chordata, Lepidosauria, Squamata, Cordylidae. The transcript is spliced from 2 exons. The record is from RefSeq and is a predicted model, not a curated record.
CUUUCUUUAGUACAGUUGUUGUUUGAAGCAAAGAACCCGGUAAAUUUUAAAUCUAAACUGGAUUUUCCCCUUGGUCAUAUUGGCUUGUAAUUUUGGAAGCUCUCCUCUUAUGCCUUUAAUGUGCACUUCCUCACCCUGGACCAUCUAAGGAAUAUUUUGUUGAAUAUAUGCCUGGCCCUACAAGCUAUGCUGACAUGGCCUGAAUUAUUCUGUGAGGUUUCAUUCAUUAUGACUAGCUGGCCGAAUUCGGUGUCUGAUUCUUCUGCAGCGCCCAAUAUUCCUGCUGGGCCGAAAUCCAACAAUUCUUUGGUUCCAAUUCCAGAGAAACCUGUGCCUGAGGAACCUCCCAGUCUUGAAGAUGUCCAACCAUUGGGACCUCUGGUGCCCAUUGCACCAUGGCCACCACUGCCUGAAUGGCCUGAUUCAGAGACCUCCUGAAGACUCGUCCUCCUCCUCCUCUGAUGAUGAUUAAUUUUUCUCCAGCCAUAUUUUACAGAGAUGCCUCUGGCUGUCAUAGAAAUGCAGUUUACCUUUCCCCCCCAUAUACUUAGGGAGGCUUCACACGACCACAAGCAAGUCUCAAGAACAUUUAGAUAAAAUGUUGGUGAUUGGGAAUGCAUGCUCCUGACAGGCGUGAUGUCUGAACCCACACAAAUCUGGCUUCUGCACUCUCCACCUGACAUCCUCCUGACCUUCUCAGCCCAACUUCCAGAUCUUGGGGAUGGAAGUUGGGAGAACGUUGGGUGGAGAAUCUCAGGAAUGGUAUUUGGGUAGGUUUGGAUGUCAUGCCCGCUGGGAGCACGCUUUUCCGGUCACCAACAUUUUACCUACAUGUUCUUUACUUAUUCCUGACAUUCUACUUAAAUGUUUCUGACUUACAGACUUGCUGAUGAUCAUGUGAAGCAAUCAUAAAUUCCUAUGUUCAUCUGAAGCCACCAAAUAUUAUUCAGAAUCCAGACUGGUCUCUGCUGUAAGACUUUCUACUACCUUGGAAACUGAGUGACAACUGAAGAUUUUGGCCCACCAAGUUUAAUAUCCAUUGAUACAAGUUUAUUAUCCAUUGAUGAAGCAACACAACUUUUGUAGCAAUGAACUUGCUAAGAAGAUGCCCGUCAAUCUACUCACCAACUGACACAGCCACUAGUGUUGCACAUGAUAUUCUGUCUGCCCACUUGAUUCAUAGGCGUAUCCUAACUACCUAUCUGAUCCAAAAUGGCAGAUCCUGAGCUAUAUUCAGCCUGCUUUAUUACAUGCUGGAUGGUGGCUCUGUCACCUACUUGUGUUGUAAAAAAAGCUUCCAAUAAAAUAUUGGAAAAGUG